GAUGAACGCUGGCGGCGUGCCUAAUACAUGCAAGUCGAGCGAACAGAUGAGGAGCUUGCUCCUCUGACGUUAGCGGCGGACGGGUGAGUAACACGUGGAUAACCUACCUAUAAGACUGGGAUAACUUCGGGAAACCGGAGCUAAUACCGGAUAAUAUAUUGAACCGCAUGGUUCAAUAGUGAAAGACGGUUUUGCUGUCACUUAUAGAUGGAUCCGCGCCGCAUUAGCUAGUUGGUAAGGUAACGGCUUACCAAGGCAACGAUGCGUAGCCGACCUGAGAGGGGGAUAGGCCACCUUGGAACUGGAACACGGUCCAGACUCCUACGGGAGGCAGCAGUAGGGAAUCUUCCGCAAAGGGGGAGAGCCUGACGGAGCAACGCGGCGUGAGUGAUGAAGGUCCUCGGAUCGUAAAACUCUGUUAUUAGGGAAGAACAAAUGUGUAAGUAACUAUGCACGUCUUGACGGUAACUAAUCAGAAAGCCACGGCUAACUACGUG
Molecule: ribosomal RNA, 497 nt
Filed under: uncultured bacterium
Lineage: Bacteria
Description: partial 16S ribosomal RNA
Rfam family: Bacterial small subunit ribosomal RNA
Source: RNAcentral